This 26-nucleotide non-coding RNA is filed under the name Cricetulus griseus (Chinese hamster). Lineage: Eukaryota; Metazoa; Chordata; Mammalia; Rodentia; Cricetidae. The record is from RNAcentral.
AAAUAGGACAAUGUAAAUAAGCAGUG